RNAcentral lists this unclassified non-coding RNA (304 nucleotides) under plant metagenome. RNAcentral's name for it is "partial contains 5.8S ribosomal RNA, internal transcribed spacer 2, and large subunit ribosomal RNA". The stretch from base 1 to 105 matches the Rfam family "5.8S ribosomal RNA", at positions 50 to 154 of the family's 154-position model. The record is from RNAcentral.
GAAAUGCGAUAAGUAAUGUGAAUUGCAGAAUUCCGUGAAUCAUCGAAUCUUUGAACGCACAUUGCGCCCCCUGGCAUUCCGGGGGGCAUGCCUGUCCGAGCGUCAUUUCUGCCCUCAAGCACGGCUUGUGUGUUGGGUGUGGUCCCCCCGGGGACCUACCCGAAAGGCAGCGGCGACGUCCGUCUGGUCCUCGAGCGUAUGGGGCUCUGUCACUCGCUCGGGAAGGACCUGCGGGGGUUGGUCACCACCAUAUUUCACCACGGUUGACCUCGGAUCAGGUAGGAGUUACCCGCUGAACUUAAGC